GAUGAAGAACGUAGCGAAAUGCGAUACGUUAUGUGAAUUGCAGAAUUCAGUGAAUCAUCGAGUCUUUGAACGCACAUUGCGCCCCCUGGUAUUCCGGGGGGCAUGCCUGUCCGAGCGUCAUUGCUGCCCUCAAGCACGGCUUGUGUGUUGGGCCUCCGUCCUCCUCCCGGGGGACGGGCCCGAAAGGCAGCGGCGGCACCGCGUCCGGUCCUCGAGCGUAUGGGGCUUCGUCACCCGCUCUUGUAGGCCCGGCCGGCGCUUGCCGACACAUCAAUCUUUUUUCCAGGUUGACCUCGGAACAGGUAGGGAUACCCGCUGAACUUAAGCAUAUCAAUAAGCGGAGGA
RNAcentral lists this unclassified non-coding RNA (345 nucleotides) under soil metagenome. Its description in RNAcentral is "partial contains 5.8S ribosomal RNA, internal transcribed spacer 2, and large subunit ribosomal RNA". The stretch from base 1 to 120 matches the Rfam family "5.8S ribosomal RNA", at positions 35 to 154 of the family's 154-position model. The record is from RNAcentral.